GCAUAUCAAUAAGCGGAGGAAAAGAAACUAACAAGGAUUCCCCUAGUAGCGGCGAGCGAAGCGGGAAGAGCUCAAAUUUAUAAUCUGGCACUUUCAGUGUCCGAGUUGUAAUCUCUAGAAGUGUUUUCCGCGUUGGACCGCACACAAGUCUGUUGGAACACAGCGGCACAGUGGUGAGACCCCAUUACAUGGUGCGGAUGCCCAGCGCUUUGCGAUACACUUUCAAAGAGUCGAGUUGUUUGGGAAUGCAGCUCAAAUUGGGUGGUAAAUUCCAUCUAAAGCUAAAUAUUGGCGAGAGACCGAUAGCGAACAAGUACCGUGAGGGAAAGAUGAAAAGCACUUUGGAAAGAGAGUUAACAGUACGUGAAAUUGUUGGAAGGGAAACGCUUGAAGUCAGACUUGCUUGCCGGGCUUGCUCGGUUUGCAGGCCAGCAUCAGUUUUCUGGGGUGGAAAAUGACGGUUAGAAGGUAGCAGCCUCGGCUGUGUUAUAGCUUUCCGUUGGAUACAUCCUGGGGGACUGAGGAACGCAGCGCGCUUUUAGCGAGGGUUUCGACCCUUUCGCGCUUAGGAUGCUGGUG
This 579-nucleotide ribosomal RNA is filed under the name Rhodotorula aff. paludigenum IMUFRJ 52024. RNAcentral describes it as "eukaryotic LSU rRNA". It matches the Rfam family "Eukaryotic large subunit ribosomal RNA", at positions 38 to 631 of the family's 3401-position model. Lineage: Eukaryota; Fungi; Basidiomycota; Microbotryomycetes; Sporidiobolales; Sporidiobolaceae. The record is from RNAcentral.